GUGCUAAACAAGAGUAUAAAGACCAUUAUCCACAUGGAGCACUGGUUGUGUUAUUCAACCUACCCCACCCUUACGGAAAUGUUAACAAAAAUCUUCUACGGCAAUACUUUUUUCACCACUAUGUGGCACUGUGAAGCUGAAUAGCUAAAGUUUAUUUGACAAAAAAUUCAGGGUGUGCUUCGGCUUAUUUUGUUUUAAAAUAAGUUCCAAAGUUUGGGUAGGACACCUUACCCCUAACUUACGGAAAUGUUAAUGAAAAUUGUUUUACGGCAAUACUUUUUUCGCCACUAGGUGCAAUGGGAAGCGGAAUAGUUAAGAUUUACUUUACAAUAAUUCAAGGGUGUGCUUCGGCUUAGUUUUUUUUUUAAAUUAAGUCCAAAGUUGGGGUCAGACACCCUACCCCACCCUUACGGAAAUGUUAAUUAAAAAUGUUCUACGGCAAAACUCUUUUCGAAACUAGGUGCAAUGGGAAGCUGAAUAGCUAAAGUGUACUUGACAAUAAAUUCAGGGUGUGCGUCGCCUUAGUUUUUUUUUUAAUAAGGUCCAAAUUUGGGUUCGGACACCCUACCCAUCCCUUACGGAAAUGUUACAAAAAAAAUGUUUUAUGGCAAUACUUUUUUCGCCAGCAGGUGCAAUGGGAAGCUGAAUCGCUAAAGUUUACAUGACAAAAAAUCCAGGGUGUGCAUCGGCUUAAUUUUUGUUUAUACUUUAGGUCCAAAGUUCGUGUCGGACACCUCUCCCCACCAUUACGGAAAAAUCAAUAAAAAAUAUUGAACGGCAAUACUUUUUUCGCCACUUGGUGCAAUGGGAAGCUGGAUAGCUAGGUUUACGUGACAAUAAAUCAAGGGUGUGCUUCGGCUUAGUUUAUUUUUUUAAUAAAGUCCAAAGUUGGGGUUUGGACACCCUAACCCACCCUUACGGAAAUGUAAAUAAAAAAGUUCUACGGCAAUACUUUUUUUUUGCCAGUAGGUGCAAUGGGAACCUGAAUAGCUACAGUUUACUUGACAAUAAAUUCGGGUGUGCUUCGGCUUUUUUUCUUUUUAAAUUAGUCCAAAGUUGGGGUCGGACACCCUACCUCACCCUUACAAUACUUUUUUCGCUACUAGGUGCAAUGGUAAGCUGAAUAGCUAAGGUUUACUUGACAAUAAAUUCAGGGUGUGCUUCGGCUUAGUUUUUUUUUAUUAAGGUCCAAAGUUGGGGUUGGACACCCUACCCUUCCCUUACGGAAUGUUAAUAAAAAAUGUUCUAUGGCAAUACUUUUUUCGCCAGUAGGUGUAAUGGGAAGCUGAAUAGCUAAGGUUUACUUGUCAUUUAUUCAAGGGGUGGGCUUCGGCUUAUUUUUUUUUAAAUCAGGUCCAAAGUUGGGGUCGGACACCCUACCCCACCCUUACAGAAAUGUCAAUAAAAAAUGUUCUACGGCAAUAAUUCUUUCGCCACUAAGUGAUAUGGAUAGCUGAAUAGCUAAAGUUUACUUGACAAAAAAUCCAGGGUGUGCUUUGGCUUCUUUUUUUAUAAAUUGGGUCCAAAGUUGGGGUCGGACACCUCUCCCCACCAUUACGGAAAUGUCAAUAAAAAAUAUUUUACGGAAAUACUUUUUUCGCCAUUUGGUGCAAUGGGAAGCUGGAUAGCUAAGGUUUACUUGACAAUAAAUCAAGGGUGUGAUUCGGCUUAGAUUUUUCUUUAAUUAGGUCCAAAGUUGGGGUCGGACACCUUACCCUACCCUUACGGAAAUGUAAAUAAAAAAUGUUUUACGGCAAUACUUUUUUCGCCACUAGGUGCAAUUGGAAGUUGAAUAGCUAAAGUUUACUAGACAAAAACUCCAGGGUGUGCUUCGGCUUAUUUUCUUUUUAAACUAAGUCCAAAGUUGGGGUCGGACACCCUACUCCACCCUUCCGGAAAUGUUAAUGAAAGAUGUUCUAGGGCAAUACUUUUUUCGUCACAUGGUGCAAUGGGAAGCUGAAUAGCUAAGGUUUACUUGACACUAAAUCCAAGGUGUGCUUGGCUUAUUUUUAUGAGAUAAAGCCUUUUUUUUCGAAAGGAUUGUUAAUAUAUGUGUUUGUCUUUUGUUUGCUUCUUGGUUUUUUUUGUAGUGGCAUUGUCGGUUCCUUUUAGACUUAUGAGUUUGAAUUUUCAUUUUGUAUCUUAUUCCUCUCUGUUUCGUUUCUGAUAAAUUGAUUUUUUUUUUAUUGUUUUAUCUUUCAAGUUUGUAAACCGCCGUGCAUCGUUUAAAUGACUUACCUCAAAUUUGGAACCUAUAAUCAUGUUGUCGACGAUAUAAGUAUCUGUAGAUAUUAACUGUUUAAUUU
This 2306-nucleotide long non-coding RNA is filed under the name Mytilus galloprovincialis (Mediterranean mussel). The record is from RNAcentral. Lineage: Eukaryota; Metazoa; Mollusca; Bivalvia; Mytilida; Mytilidae.